This 73-nucleotide transfer RNA is filed under the name Nanobdellota archaeon. Its description in RNAcentral is "Nanoarchaeota archaeon tRNA-Val". It matches the Rfam family "tRNA". Rfam says of the family: Transfer RNA (tRNA) molecules are approximately 80 nucleotides in length. Their secondary structure includes four short double-helical elements and three loops (D, anti-codon, and T loops). The record is from RNAcentral. RNAcentral also lists the same sequence under 1 other name. Lineage: Archaea; Nanobdellati; Nanobdellota.
GGGCCCAUAGUCUAGUGGUUAUGACGUCGCCUUGACGUGGCGAAGGUCCCCGGUUCGAGUCCGGGUGGGCCCA